CCUGGGGAGUACGGCCGCAAGGUUAAAACUCAAAUGAAUUGACGGGGGCCCGCACAAGCGGUGGAGCAUGUGGUUUAAUUCGAUGCAACGCGAAGAACCUUACCUGGUCUUGACAUCCACGGAAGUUUUCAGAGAUGAGAAUGUGCCUUCGGGAACCGUGAGACAGGUGCUGCAUGGCUGUCGUCAGCUCGUGUUGUGAAAUGUUGGGUUAAGUCCCGCAACGAGCGCAACCCUUAUCCUUUGUUGCCAGCGGUCCGGCCGGGAACUCAAAGGAGACUGCCAGUGAUAAACUGGAGGAAGGUGGGGAUGACGUCAAGUCAUCAUGGCCCUUACGACCAGGGCUACACACGUGCUACAAU
This 359-nucleotide ribosomal RNA is filed under the name Shigella flexneri. RNAcentral's name for it is "bacterial SSU rRNA". It matches the Rfam family "Bacterial small subunit ribosomal RNA", at positions 872 to 1231 of the family's 1533-position model. The record is from RNAcentral. Lineage: Bacteria; Pseudomonadati; Pseudomonadota; Gammaproteobacteria; Enterobacterales; Enterobacteriaceae.